AGUGAACGCUGGCGGCGUGCUUAACACAUGCAAGUCGAACGAGAACGGGCUAUAGCUUGCUAUAGUUGUCAGCUAAGUGGCGCACGGGUGAGUAAUGUAUAGGUAAUAUGCCUCUUACUAAGGGAUAACAAAUGGAAACGUUUGCUAAUACCUUAUACUCCUUAUUAACAUAAGUUAAUAAGGGAAAGAUUUAUUGGUAAGAGAUUAGCCUGUAUUGUAUCAGUUAGUUGGUGGGGUAAUGGCUUACCAAGACUAUGACACAUAACUGGUUUGAGAGGAUGAUCAGUCACACUGGAACUGAGACACGGUCCAGACUCCUACGGGAGGCAGCAGUGGGGAAUAUUGCACAAUGGACGAAAGUCUGAUGCAGCAACGCCGCGUGGAGGAUGACACAUUUCGGUGCGUAAACUCCUUUUAUAUGAGAAGAUAAUGACGGUAUUAUAUGAAUAAGCACCGGCUAACUCCGUGCCAGCCGCCGCAAUAA
Molecule: ribosomal RNA, 484 nt
Filed under: uncultured bacterium
Lineage: Bacteria
Description: partial 16S ribosomal RNA
Rfam family: Bacterial small subunit ribosomal RNA
Source: RNAcentral